This 1400-nucleotide ribosomal RNA is filed under the name metagenome. Its description in RNAcentral is "bacterial SSU rRNA". It matches the Rfam family "Bacterial small subunit ribosomal RNA". The record is from RNAcentral.
AGAGUUUGAUCCUGGCUCAGAACGAACGCUGGCGGCGUGCUUCAUACAUGCAAGUCGAACGAGAAAAUUCCGCUUCGGUGGAAUGAGUAGAGUGGCAAACGGGUGAGUAACACGUGGGCAACCUGCUCUCAAAUUGGGGAUAACCUCGCCAACACGGGGCUAAUACCGAAUGUUGUCCUAAUAUCGCAUGGUAUAAGGAUGAAAGCUUUUUUUUAAUAAGAAGGCGUUUGAGAAGGGGCCCGCGUCCUAUUAGCUUGUUGGUGAGGUAAUGGCUCACCAAGGCUGCGAUAGGUAGCCGGCCUGAGAGGGUGAUCGGCCACACUGGGACUGAGAUACGGCCCAGACUCCUACGGGAGGCAGCAGUAGGGAAUAUUGCGCAAUGGACGAAAGUCUGACGCAGCAACGCCGCGUGGGUGAUGAAGUUUUUCGGAACGUAAAACCCUGUCAGGAGGGAAGAAACUCUCGAUUUUUUCGGGACUGACGGUACCUCCAGAGGAAGCUCCGGCCAACUCCGUGCCAGCAGCCGCGGUAACACGGGGGGAGCAAGCGUUGUUCGGAUUUACUGGGCGUAAAGGGCGUGUAGGCGGAUGGGUCAGUCAGAUGUGAAAUUCCAGGGCUCAACUCUGGACCUGCAUUUGAUACUUCUCAUCUAGAGUAUGGGAGAGAGAUCGGAAUUCCUGGUGUAGCGGUGAAAUGCGUAGAUAUCAGGAAGAACACCGGUGGCGAAGGCGGAUCUCUGGCCUAAUACUGACGCUGAUGCGCGAAAGCUGGGGGAGCAAACAGGAUUAGAUACCCUGGUAGUCCCAGCCGUAAACGAUGGGCACUAGGUGUUGGGGGUAUUGAUCCCCUCAGUGCCGGAGUUAACGCAUUAAGUGCCCCGCCUGGGGAGUACGCUCGCAAGGGUGAAACUCAAAGGAAUUGACGGGGGCCCGCACAAGCGGUGGAGCAUGUGGUUUAAUUCGAUGCAACGCGAAGAACCUUACCGGGGUUUGACAUGCCCGUCAUACCUUGAUGAAAGUCAAGGGUCAGUUCGGCUGGACGGUGCACAGGUGCUGCAUGGCUGUCGUCAGCUCGUGUCGUGAGAUGUUGGGUUAAGUCCCGCAACGAGCGCAACCCUUACCCUUAGUUGCCAGCACGUAAUGGUGGGAACUCUAAGGGGACUGCCUCGGAUAACGGGGAGGAAGGUGGGGAUGACGUCAAGUCCUCAUGGCCCUUAUGCUCCGGGCUACACACGUGCUACAAUGGUCGGUACAGAGGGCUGCGAAACCGCGAGGUGGAGCUAAUCCCAGAAAGCCGAUCUCAGUUCGGAUUGGAGUCUGCAACUCGACUCCAUGAAGUCGGAAUCGCUAGUAAUCGCGAAUCAGCAGGUCGCGGUGAAUACGUUCCCGGGCCUUGUACAC